GGUUAAGUCCGCGUACGGACAGAGCCGCAGCGAAAGCGAGUCUGAAUAGGGCGAAAGUCAGUGGGGAUAGACGCGAAACCUAGUGAUCUACACAUGGCCAGGUUGAAGGUGCCGUAACAGGUACUGGAGGACCGAACUGAUUAGCGUUGAAAAGCUACCGGAUGAGUUGUGUGUAGGGGUGAAAGGCUAAUCAAACUGGGAGAUAGCUCGUACUCCCCGAAAUGUUUUUAGGAACAGCCUCGUACUUAUUGUCAUAGAGGUAGAGCUACCGAUUGGACUAGGGGGCUUCACCGCCUACCAAAUCCUGACGAACUCCGAAUGCUAUGACAUCUAUACGGGGAGUGAGGCGUGGGGUGCUAAGGUCACACGCCGAGAGGGAAAUAACCCAGACCAUCAGCUAAGGUCCCUAAAAUAUGCUAAGUUGAACAAACGCAGUUUGACCGCUAUAACAGCCAGGAUGUUUGCUUGGAAGCAGCAAUUCAUUUAAAGAGUGCGUAACAGCUCACUGGUCGAGUGGUCGGGCACGGAAAAUAA
Molecule: ribosomal RNA, 534 nt
Filed under: uncultured bacterium
Lineage: Bacteria
Description: bacterial LSU rRNA
Rfam family: Bacterial large subunit ribosomal RNA
Source: RNAcentral